GAACUAUCCGAUCCAUCGCUCACAUGGGAACCCUCUCGACUUUUGUGUCUUAGACUGUUUCGAAAAGUUCUAUGACACUGAAGCGAGAGUGUUCCCAGUGAACUUUUGGGUCAGUUC
RNAcentral lists this microRNA precursor (117 nucleotides) under Pristionchus pacificus. Its description in RNAcentral is "microRNA ppc-mir-63b precursor". Its record names the gene ppc-mir-63b. Lineage: Eukaryota; Metazoa; Nematoda; Chromadorea; Rhabditida; Neodiplogasteridae. The record is from miRBase by way of RNAcentral.